AUUCGCUGGGUAUUUAUAUGUAUCAGAAAAAGCAGGAUAUAGAGAUAGAUGAGACACCCCUGCUUUUUUCAAAGAGCUCCCCGCCUAGUAGUGACAUUGGAUUACAGACUGACCUCUGAAUGUGCCUGAAUAAAAGCAACUCAGAAUGUGGGAGGAUGGCUGGAUUAUGAUAAAGCUUUCAGGAUAACUCCAA
This 193-nucleotide long non-coding RNA is filed under the name Mustela putorius furo (domestic ferret). Its description in RNAcentral is "lncRNA (ENSMPUG00000029614.1)". Lineage: Eukaryota; Metazoa; Chordata; Mammalia; Carnivora; Mustelidae. The record is from RNAcentral.